This 406-nucleotide ribosomal RNA is filed under the name uncultured bacterium. RNAcentral's name for it is "partial 16S ribosomal RNA". It matches the Rfam family "Bacterial small subunit ribosomal RNA", at positions 29 to 526 of the family's 1533-position model. The record is from RNAcentral.
AUUGAACGCUGGCGGCAGGCCUAAAACAUGCAAGUCGAGCGAGCGGCGGACGGGUGAGUAAUGUCUGGGAAACUGGCUGCUGGAGGGGGAUAACUACUGGAAACGGUAGCUAAUACCGCAUACCAUCAGAUGUGCCCAGAUGGGAGUAGCUGGGAGGUGGGGUAACGGCUAACCUAGGCGACGAUCCCUAGCUGGUCUGAGAGGAUGACCAGCCACACGGGAACGUAGACACGGUCCAGACUCCUACGGGAGGCAGCAGUGGGGAAUAUUGCAGAAUGGGCGCAAGCCUGAUGCAGCCAUGCCGCGUGUGUGAAGAAGGCCUUCGGGUUGUAAAGCACUUUCAGCUGGGAGGCGUUACCCGCAGAAGAAGCACCGGCUAACUCCGUGCCAGCAGCCGCGGUAAUUC